UCCGUAGGGGGCAAGCGUUGUCCGGAAUCAUUGGGCGUAAAGCGCGCGUAGGCGGCUUGGUAAGUCCGCUCUGAAAGCCCGGGGCUCAACCCCGGGAGGCGGGUGGAUACUGUCAAGCUCGAGUCCGGAAGAGGCGAGUGGAAUUCCCGGUGUAGUGGUGAAAUGCGUAGAUAUCGGGAGGAAUACCAGUGGCGAAGGCGGCUUCCUGGCCUGUUCUUGACGCUGAGGCGCGAAAGCUAGGGUAGCAAACGGG
Molecule: ribosomal RNA, 253 nt
Filed under: uncultured bacterium
Lineage: Bacteria
Description: partial 16S ribosomal RNA
Rfam family: Bacterial small subunit ribosomal RNA
Source: RNAcentral